Panicum virgatum (switchgrass) is the source of this 806-nucleotide long non-coding RNA. RefSeq lists it as uncharacterized. The transcript has 2 exons. Lineage: Eukaryota; Viridiplantae; Streptophyta; Magnoliopsida; Poales; Poaceae. The record is from RefSeq and is a predicted model, not a curated record.
UAGAACUUUUGUAUGGAUCAAAUGGGUUAUCUAAGAAAAUUGAAUCUGCUCUGAAUGAAUUAUUUGGUUCCUAUGUGAAAACUGUCAGUGCCUCUUCUUCUUCUAUCAAUAAAGGUUCAAAUCAAGCUCCAAUUCAUAUCAAUGUAAAUGAAGAGUACGAAGAGAACCUGUGGGAUAUGCUAGCAGCUCAAUUUGAGCAACAUAUGGAGGAGAUUGAAAAUGAAUCGAGUGAGCCAGAAUUAUCAAGGUAUCUUGCUGAUAAACAUGAGAGGAUAACAAAGGAAUUUGAUAUAUUGGAAUAUUGGAAAGUGAACUCCAAUAAAUAUCCAAUAUUAUCUCUUUUAGCAAAGGACGUGCUAGCUGUUCCUGCUUCUACAGUGCCCUCAGAAUCAGAUUUUAGCACUGGUGGAAGGAUUAUCGAUCUCCUCUGAUGCAGUCUAUCAACUGACACAGUUGAAGCUUUAAUUUGUUCACAAAGUUGGCUUCGAACAUCACAAAGAAAAUUAAGUGAAAGAGAAGCCGCUGAAGAGAUCCAGGCAUAUGAGGAGAUUAGAGAAGAGUUUGUUUCAAAGGACUGCACUGAUAAGCAACACCAUAUUGGUACGUCUCUUUCUUAACUUGCUAGAGGGCAUAUAUAGUAGUGAUUAUUCAGUGAGCAAUAGCACAGCUUGCAUGUCUACCAUUAUUUAACAGCUUGCAAAUUGUCCAAAGUCUGCUUGCAAACUGUUCAAAGUACUGCUUGCAGAUUGUCCAAAGCCUUGUUGGAGCAACAUUAUUUUUAUUGAUUCCAGAAAAAAUAUGCUUUA